This 433-nucleotide ribosomal RNA is filed under the name uncultured bacterium. RNAcentral describes it as "partial 16S ribosomal RNA". It matches the Rfam family "Bacterial small subunit ribosomal RNA", at positions 29 to 507 of the family's 1533-position model. The record is from RNAcentral.
AACGAACGCUGGCGGCAUGCCUAACACAUGCAAGUCGAACGAGACCUUCGGGUCUAGUGGCGCACAGGUGCGUAACGCGUGGGAACCUGCCCUUAGGUUCGGAAUAACUCCCCGAAAGGGGUGCUAAUACCGGAUAAUGUCUUCGGACCAAAGAUUUAUCGCCUUUGGAUGGGCCCGCGUUGGAUUAGCUAGUUGGUAGGGUAAAAGCCUACCAAGGCGACGAUCCAUAGCUGGUCUGAGAGGAUGAUCAGCCACACUGGGACUGAGACACGGCCCAGACUCCUACGGGAGGCAGCAGUGGGGAAUAUUGGAAAAUGGGCGAAAGGCUGAUCCAGCAAUGCCGCGUGAGUGAUGAAGGCCUUAGGGUUGUAAAGCUCUUUUACCCGGGAUGAUAAUGACAGUACCGGGAGAAUAAGCCCCGGCUAACUCCGUG